This 6480-nucleotide long non-coding RNA is filed under the name Theobroma cacao (cacao). RNAcentral describes it as "long non-coding RNA (TCAC_LNC000728)". The record is from RNAcentral. Lineage: Eukaryota; Viridiplantae; Streptophyta; Magnoliopsida; Malvales; Malvaceae.
GAGCGUCCUGCUUUUGCAGUGAGUGGGGAUUCUCUCUUUUAUGCCAAAGACCGGUUUUUAAGAUAUUAUGAGUUUUCAACUCAAAGAGAGGCGCAAGUAAUUCCAAUUCGACGGCCUGGUUCCACAACCUUGAAUCAAAGUCCAAGGACCCUUUCUUACAGUCCUACAGAAAAUGCUGUUCUUAUCUGCUCAGAUGUGGAUGGAGGAUCGUAUGAGUUGUAUGUGAUACCAAAAGACAGCAUUGGUAGGGGUGACAGUUUGCAGGAGGCAAAGAGAGGUCUUGGGAGUUCUGCUAUAUUUGUGGCUCGAAAUCGGUUUGCUGUGCUCGACAAAGGCAACAACCAAGUCUUAAUUAAGAAUCUAAAAAAUGAAGUAGUUAAAAAGAGUGGCCUCCCAGUGCCUACGGAUGCGAUAUUUUAUGCUGGAACAGGUAACUUGUUGUGUAGGUCAGAGGAUAGAGUAGUUAUAUUUGAUCUCCAGCAGAGGAUUGUUCUUGGUGAUCUUCAAACCCCCUUUGUGAAGUAUAUUGUUUGGUCAAAUGAUAUGGAAAGUGUUGCUUUGCUCAGCAAGCAUGCCAUUAUCAUUACUAACAAGAAGCUUAUGCACCAGUGCACUCUUCAUGAGACAAUACGUGUAAAAAGUGGAGGCUGGGAUGACAAUGGUGUUUUUAUUUACACCACCCUAAACCAUAUAAAAUACUGCCUUCCCAAUGGAGAUAGUGGAAUAAUUCGAACGCUUGAUGUUCCAAUAUACAUAACAAAGGUUUCAGGAAAUACUUUAUUUUGCCUGGAUCGUGAUGGGAAGAAUAGGACUGUAGUCAUUGAUGCUACAGAAUACAUUUUCAAGCUCUCUCUGCUUCGGAAGAGAUAUGAUCAUGUUAUGAGCAUGAUAAGAAACUCCCAGCUUUGUGGUGAGGCCAUGAUUGCUUAUCUGCAACAAAAGGGGUUCCCUGAAGUGGCUCUCCAUUUUGUCAAAGAUGAGAAAACACGCUUUAAUUUGGCUCUAGAGAGUGGGAACAUUCAAAUUGCUGUUGCAUCAGCUAAGGAGAUAGAUGACAAAGAUCAUUGGUAUAGGUUGGGUGUGGAGGCUCUUCGCCAAGGCAAUGCAGGUAUAGUGGAAUAUGCUUAUCAGAAGACAAAAAACUUUGAGAGGUUGUCUUUUCUUUAUCUCAUAACCGGUAAUCUGGAAAAGCUAUCCAAGAUGCUGAAAAUUGCAGAAGUUAAGAAUGAUGUUAUGGGUCAGUUUCACAAUGCUUUGUAUCUUGGUGAUAUCCAGGAACGAGUUAAAAUCUUGGAGAAUUCUGGUCACUUGCCUCUUGCUUACAUUACAGCAUCAGUCCAUGGUCUACAGGAUGUGGCUGAAAGGUUAGCAGCUGAGUUGGGAGAUGAUGUCCCUCCUUUGCCAGAGGGGAAAGAACCUUCCCUUUUGAUGCCUUCUGCCCCCGUUUUAUGUGGUGGUGAUUGGCCCCUUCUGAGAGUCAUGAAAGGCAUAUUUGAAGGUGGAUUGGAUAGCGGUAUUGGCAGGGGUGCUGUGGAUGAAGAGGAGGAGGGUGUAGAAGGUGAUUGGGGUGAAGAUCUUGAUGUGGUUGAUGUUGAUGGCUUACAGAAUGGUGAUGUUACUGCAAUUUUGGAGGAUGGGGAAGUAGCUGAAGAAAAUGAAGAAGAGGGUGGAUGGGACCUUGAAGAUUUGGAACUUCCCCCUGAGGCAGACACCCCAAAGGUCUCUGGGAAUGCUCGGUCUUCUGUUUUUGUGGCACCUACUCUGGGUAUGCCUGUAAGUCAGAUUUGGAUUCAGAGAUCAUCUCUUGCUGCUGAACAUGCAGCAGCUGGCAAUUUUGAUACGGCAAUGCGUUUGCUUAGCAGGCAACUUGGCAUUAGAAACUUUGCCCCUUUGAAAUUGAUGUUUCUUGAUCUUGACACUGGUAGCCGUAGCUAUCUCCGUGCAUUUGCAUCUGCACCAGUGGUUUCACUGGCAGUUGAGCGGGGAUGGAAUGAAUCUGCUAGUCCUAAUGUGAGGGGUCCACCAGCACUUGUGUUCAAUUCCUCUCAAUUGGAUGAAAAGGUGAAUGCCGGUUACAAGGCCACGACGGCUGGGAAAUUCACUGAAGCUCUUCGGCUUUUCCUUAACAUUCUUCAUACAAUUCCAUUGAUUGUUGUGGAGUCAAGGAGGGAAGUUGACGAAGUCAAGGAAUUGAUUAUUAUUGCUAAGGAGUAUGUUCUUGGUCUACAGAUGGAGCUUAAGAGGAAAGAAAUGAAAGACAAUCCAGUACGCCAGCAGGAGCUUGCUGCCUACUUCACCCACUGCAACCUUCGGACACCUCACUUAAGGCUUGCUUUGCAAAAUGCAAUGUCUGUAUGCUUCAAGGCAAAGAACAUGGCUACAGCAGCUAACUUUGCCAGUCGUCUACUAGAAACAAACCCCACAAAUGAGAAUCAAGCAAAGACAGCAAGGCAAGUGCUUCAAGCUGCUGAGAGGAAUAUGACAGAUGCCUCUCAGCUGAACUAUGAUUUCAGAAACCCAUUUGUGGUAUGUGGGGCAACUCAUGUGCCAAUUUACAGAGGACAGAAAGAUGUAUCUUGCCCAUAUUGCACUACACGCUUCAUUCCUAGCCAGGAAGGGCAAUUGUGUACUAUCUGUGAUCUUGCAGUGGUUGGGGCAGAUGCUUCAGGGUUGCUCUGUUCUCCUUCACAGAUACGAUGAUCAAGUUGCUGAAGUUGGAUCUACUUUUUAACUUUAUCUUGCUGACCUCUUUUAGCUGCAGAAACCUGCCUGGGUUGAUCGAUUCAUAUCUGUGUGUGAAAGGUCAGAUUACUGAAGAGGAGUUGCGAACCAAAUUAAUUUUUUGUGCUAUUUCCUUUUAUUUGCUUUUUGUUUAAUUCCUCUUAAUAGUUCAUAAUGAUUUUCAAUGUAAGAAUAAAUUUGGAAUUUUCGUUAUCAGGCUUUUCUUGUCUGUUGAUGUCUAUAGACAAGUAUAUUCAUAGGUGCCUUGUUAAUUAAAUGAUGUCAUAGGUAGCACUUACAUAUCGAUUUUAUGCAUAUGUGAUUUCAGAAACUUGCUUUUUGCCAAUUAUUCGAUCUCGGGACUUUUGAAUUGGGGCCCUUCUUGGGCAGUGGAAGUUGAUUCUUUUUCCAAUUCAAAUAGUCAUAAGAGAUUUGUGGAGAUAUAUUUGCAUUAAAAUGGAUAUGUUGAGAUAUACUUAGUGCAACGAAAGUUAAUAUAAGAUUCAAUUAUAAAUUUUAAAUACAAAUUUUAUCAAUUAGUUAAAUAGUAACAAUUUUUAAAAAUAAGUUCUUUAAAGGUCGGUGAUUUACAUUUUACUUUUUAAAAAAAAAAAAAUCGUCGUGGAAUGAAAAUAUUUUCUUUGAGUCGCAGCCGCAAAUAACUUGGUUACGGCAGCGGCCUUUAACCUCUGAAAUGGUAGCAUCUUUUGCGUCCUCAAAACGUCGUCGUUAAAUAAAAAGUGGGAAGGAAGGCACUUGAAAGAAAAGUCUGUACAUCACAAACAUAGUUCCAGUACUUGAAAAAAAAAGACUCAGAUCCUUAAAAAAGAGAAUCGAAAACUCUCUCCUCUCUAUUCAUAUAAAGCGAAAGAUGGAAAGGCGCUUCCGUUUUCGUUUGUAAUUUUAGAUGCUACAUCAGAUCUGAGGUAAUUUUUCUUAGUUUCAUGCCCAUAACUUCGAUCUUCCUUAUCUCUAUGCUUGGUUCCCAAAUCCAAAUCUCCCUGUUUGGUUACGACGAUUAUUUUAUUUAGACGUUGGAUUUGGUUUUGCUUUGUAGAAAAUUGGCGGUCGAAGAGAAAGAAGAAGAAAAACGAGAAGGGGGAGAAGAUGUUGACAAAGUUUGAGACGAAGAGUAAUAGAGUAAAGGGACUGAGUUUCCACGCUAAGAGGCCAUGGAUCUUAGCCAGUCUCCACAGUGGCGUUAUCCAGUUAUGGGACUAUCGUAUGGGUACUCUGAUUGAUCGAUUCGACGAACACGAUGGCCCCGUUCGCGGCGUCCAUUUCCACAUGUCUCAGCCUUUGUUCGUCUCUGGAGGUUGGGAUUUCAUUUAUUUUCGCUCAAUUUUAUCUGUGCUUAGUAAAUCUUGUUGAUUGUUUUGGUGAUCUAAGGAAUUGGAUGUGAAGUUGUUAUUUGUGCUGAUUAAUUAGGAUUGGAUUAGCUUAACUUGUGGAGCUCUUUUAUUCUUGUGACUAUGAAAUUUGAGAAAAUCUGAUGCGUAUGAUAAUACUGGAUCUAGAUUUACUACAGUGAUUUCAUGUAGUCAGCCUUAGUUUACUCCUUCUAGAUCUGACGUUCUCGAGAAAAUGAAUGCCAAUCCAACCAUAGACUGAAUUAUAUAGGCUAUAGUAUAUACGUUCAUAUCUGCAUGAACACAUAUAUUUAUAUACAUUUAUUCAGUGGUUUUUCGUAUACUGCUUGCAAUGUAUAGAUCUAUUUAUAUUGUUUUGAUGUCUUUUUUUUAAACUAUAAAUUUAAAGGGUUUUGAUCAUGGAGAUUCUUAAAACAAUAAGUUUGAGUACAAAUGAGUGUGAAUUGGUUAUAACUAUUUAGGAUUUAAUGCACUUAAAUUUUGUACGUACAAAUGGAAUAUAUUAAAUUUAUUACAAUUUAAAUUCCAUUUUAACAGAAUCCUCAUUCACUCGUAUUAGUGAUUCUAUCAUUAGAUUUAGGAGAACAUAAAUAGAUUUAUAUAAGAAGGCGAAUCAAAAUUUACUUAUUUAUAAUUUAAAGUUAUUAAAGGAUAAUUUAGUAAUACAAAAAAUAUUAAUGUACUUUUGUUUGGCAGGCUACACUGCGUAAAAGAUAGGGGAAUAGCACUUUGUAGCACUUAUCCCUUUGUUUAAACUGAGAAAUAACUCGUUCAACUUGGCACCUUAAAUGUUAAACUACCAUCUGAAUAGAUCUAUUGCUGAAAAGGGAUGCCUUUGAGUGUAGUAAUUUGAAAAUUUUUAAAACUGGUCAACAUGGGCAAGGAAAGUCUGAAUUUGAAGUUUUUAUUAACUCAAAAAGUUACAUUUGUGCUAUGAUUUUCUUUUAAAAAGCAUAGGAUUCUUAUGCAAUACAAAUGAUACUAAAAAUGAUGGGAUUUUUCAGGGGAUGACUACAAGAUAAAGGUCUGGAACUACAAGUUGCAUAGAUGUCUUUUCACACUUCUUGGGCAUCUUGAUUAUAUUCGUACUGUGCAAUUUCAUCAUGAGCAUCCGUGGAUUGUGAGUGCCAGUGAUGAUCAGACUAUUCGCAUCUGGAACUGGCAGUCACGAACUUGCAUAUCUGUGUUGACUGGCCAUAAUCAUUAUGUUAUGUGUGCCUCAUUCCAUCCUAAAGAAGACCUCGUUGUAUCGGCCUCCCUUGAUCAGACUGUUCGGGUUUGGGAUAUUGGUUCCCUGAGAAAGAAGACUGUCUCCCCAGCGGAUGACAUUUUGCGGUUAAGUCAGAUGAACACAGAUCUUUUUGGUGGUGUUGACUCAGUUGUUAAGUAUGUGUUGGAAGGUCAUGACCGAGGAGUAAAUUGGGCUGCAUUUCACCCCACCUUACCGCUGAUUGUCUCUGGAGCAGAUGAUCGACAAGUGAAAUUGUGGCGUAUGAACGGUAAUUAUCGGAAACUGUGCCUUCUUCUCCAUUUAUAUUUCAUUUACUAGCGAUAUUGAUUAAUUUUUUUCUUAUGUAAAUACACUUAUUGGCCAAUUAAAAUCUUCAUAAGAACUUACCUAAUUAUCUUCUUUUUUUUUUUUUCUGAAAUUUGAUGUAUGCUAAAUGGCCCAUUAUAUAUGAGCCAAGCUACCUCAAAUCCUCCAUUAUAUUUAUGAUCUUGGCAGUGUAUAGGUGCGGAGCCCAAAGAGUGUCCUUGUACAACCUGCUAAAGUUGACAGAUCAAUUUUUUUUUUGCAGCAGAGAAUUCAGACCCCUGAAUUGUUGUGGGACUGAGUAAAUUGUUUAUUUGUUUGCAGAGACAAAGGCUUGGGAAGUGGAUACCUUGAGAGGGCACAUGAAUAACGUGUCAUGUGUUAUGUUUCAUGCCAAACAAGACAUCAUUGUGUCUAAUUCCGAGGAUAAAAGUAUUCGUGUGUGGGAUGUAACAAAGCGAACUGGACUUCAAACUUUCCGUCGAGAACAUGACAGAUUCUGGAUUCUUGCUGCCCAUCCUGAAAUGAAUCUUUUGGCUGCUGGACAUGACAGUGGCAUGAUUGUAUUUAAGCUAGAGAGAGAGCGUCCUGCUUUUGCAGUGAGUGGGGAUUCUCUCUUUUAUGCCAAAGACCGGUUUUUAAGAUAUUAUGAGUUUUCAACUCAAAGAGAGGCGCAAGUAAUUCCAAUUCGACGGCCUGGUUCCACAACGUUGAAUCAAAGUCCAAGGACUCUUUCUUACAGUCCUACAGAAAAUGCUGUUCUUAUCUGCUCAGAUGUUGAUGGAGGAUCUUAUGAGUUGUAUGUGAUACCAAAAGACAGCAUUGGUAGGGGUGACAGUUUGCAGGAGGCAAAGA